Molecule: non-coding RNA, 24 nt
Filed under: Arabidopsis thaliana (thale cress)
Lineage: Eukaryota; Viridiplantae; Streptophyta; Magnoliopsida; Brassicales; Brassicaceae
Source: RNAcentral
CCUAAUGAGUUAAAUUUUUUGACU